CACAGAUAUAAUACAGGAAGGUUUCUUUGGCUGUUGCUGAUUGGUCUGCCAGAAGAGACAAUAACAGUAUUUUGUGAUAAUGUGAAAAUGUUUCAAGCAGCCUGCUUUGGUACAGUGGCAGAAAUUAGGAUUUGGAUUCUAGCUCUACUACAUAUGUACCUCCCAUGUGGUCUUCAGAAAG
Mustela erminea (ermine) is the source of this 181-nucleotide long non-coding RNA. RefSeq lists it as uncharacterized. The transcript is spliced from 2 exons. Lineage: Eukaryota; Metazoa; Chordata; Mammalia; Carnivora; Mustelidae. The record is from RefSeq and is a predicted model, not a curated record.